Non-coding RNA from Schizosaccharomyces pombe (fission yeast), 664 nucleotides. NCBI's taxonomy places the organism in Eukaryota, Fungi, Ascomycota, Schizosaccharomycetes, Schizosaccharomycetales, Schizosaccharomycetaceae. The record is from the annotation of a GenBank genome assembly.
UGAAAAGCAAUUAAUUCAUUGAAAGAGUUAAGGACAUGUAUACCCUGGGAAGUUUGGUGUAGUUACACCACCAACUUACGUGCGUAGACUAGAAAAAAAACGAAUCAUUGCCUCACGUUAUAAGAGAACGAAAAGAAAUAGUCCUUAAUUGUGGAUAAUUAAAUAUACGAAUUCUUUCGUUUUUUAAGUUGCCAUAUAACGCCUAUUUUGCCUAUUUUUGUUAAAAAGCUAGCAAGGCGUAAAUCUAUCAUUUCUCGCUACGAUUUGAGUAUGCAUAAUCAAGCCAAAAUUAUUUCUGUUAAAAAUGUUAAACCCAUAAAAUUACUAUAAAGGAGGUAUUUGUAUAAAGAAAAUUAGAAAAACCGUUAGCAAUUAAUAAAAAGUAUAUAUUAUUAUGACUUUCCUAUUUAUUUCAUACAACAAGCGAACUGGAAGACAGUUAGACUCAUAAUAUUUUGCCAUUAAUCAGAUUAUGCAUUCUCCAAUGUAAAGAAAUUUAGCAUAAGAAUUUUCAAACAGAAUUUAUCAACUUACAGUGCUAACAUAUGACACUAUUUCUUCUAAUCAGACCAGACUUGACGAAGGAACUCUUCCAUGUCCACAUGAAUUCUCUCAAACGCUUUAACCCAAGGAUGGGUAAGCAUUUUUUGGGGUCCAGGACGAC